UACGUAGGUGGCAAGCGUUAUCCGGAAUACUGGGCGUAAAGCGCACGCAGGCGGUCUUGUAAGUUUGACGUGAAAGCUCCCGGCUUAACUGGGAGAGGUCGUUGAAGACUGCAAGACUUGAGGCAAUGAGAGGGGUGUAGAAUUCCCGGUGUAGUGGUGGAAUGCGUAGAUAUCGGGGGGAAUACCAGUGGCGAAAGCGGCACCCGUAGCGUUAGCCUGACGCUCAUGUGCGAAAGCGUGGGGAGCGAACGGGG
This 254-nucleotide ribosomal RNA is filed under the name uncultured bacterium. RNAcentral describes it as "partial 16S ribosomal RNA". It matches the Rfam family "Bacterial small subunit ribosomal RNA", at positions 524 to 777 of the family's 1533-position model. The record is from RNAcentral.